UUGCGACUUCGGUCGCAAGGGAGUGGCGCACGGGUGAGUAGCGCGUGGGAACCUGCCCUGUUGUGGGGGAUAACCGAGGGAAACUUCGGCUAAUACCGCAUGCGCCCGGAGUGAUCCGGGGAAAGAUUUAUCGCAGCAGGAGGGGCCCGCGUCAGAUUAGCUGGUUGGUGGGGUAACGGCCCACCAAGGCUUUGAUCCGUAGCUGGUCUGAGAGGAUGAUCAGCCACACUGGGACUGAGACACGGCCCAGACUCCUACGGGAGGCAGCAGUGGGGAAUAUUGGACAAUGGGCGCAAGCCUGAUCCAGCAAUGCCGCGUGAGUGAUGAAGGCCUUAGGG
This 338-nucleotide ribosomal RNA is filed under the name uncultured bacterium. Its description in RNAcentral is "bacterial SSU rRNA". It matches the Rfam family "Bacterial small subunit ribosomal RNA", at positions 72 to 422 of the family's 1533-position model. The record is from RNAcentral.